AGGACGAACGCUGGCGGCGUGCUUAACACAUGCAAGUCGAGGGCACUUUGGGGGCAACUCUGGAGUGACCGGCGAACGGGUGCGUAACACGUGAGCGACCUUGCCUCGUGGUGGGGGAUAGCCGGCCCAACGGCCGGGUAAUACCGCAUAUGGUAGUUUCUUCGCAUGGGGAGACUAGCAAAGCCUUGCAGCAAUGCAAUGGCGCCACAGGGGGGGCUCGCGGCCUAUCAGCUAGUUGGGGGGGUAAUGGCCCACCAAGGCGACGACGGGUAGC
RNAcentral lists this ribosomal RNA (274 nucleotides) under uncultured bacterium. RNAcentral describes it as "partial small subunit ribosomal RNA". It matches the Rfam family "Bacterial small subunit ribosomal RNA", at positions 26 to 287 of the family's 1533-position model. The record is from RNAcentral.